This 486-nucleotide ribosomal RNA is filed under the name uncultured bacterium. Its description in RNAcentral is "bacterial SSU rRNA". It matches the Rfam family "Bacterial small subunit ribosomal RNA", at positions 29 to 526 of the family's 1533-position model. The record is from RNAcentral.
AAUGAACGUUGGCGGCGUGGAUUAGGCAUGCAAGUCGAGCGAGAACCGUAGCAAUACGGGGACAGCGGCGAAAGGGACAGUAAUGUGUAGAUGAUCUACCCUCGGGAUCGGGAUAGCUGCGGGAAACUGCAGGUAAUACCGAAUAACAUCUCCGGAUCAAAGGUGUGAUUCCGCCCGUGGAUGAGUCUACAUCCUAUUAGCUAGUUGGCGAGGUAACGGCUCACCAAGGCAAUGAUGGGUAGCGGGUGUGAGAGCACGACCCGCGUCACUGGGACUGAGACACUGCCCAGACACCUACGGGUGGCUGCAGUCGAGAAUCUUCGGCAAUGGACGCAAGUCUGACCGAGCGACGCCGCGUGCGGGAUGAAGGCCCUCGGGUUGUAAACCGCUGUCGGAGGGGAUGAAAUCGUAGUGGGUUCUCCCACUAUGUUGACAUAUCCUCAAAGGAAGUGUGGGCUAAGUUCGUGCCAGCCGCCGCAGUAAUAC